AUGGACGGAAGUCUGACCGAGCAACGCCGCGUGAGUGAAGAAGGUUUUCGGAUCGUAAAGCUCUGUUGUAAGAGAAGAACGAGUGUGAGAGUGGAGAGUUCACACUGUGACGGUAUCUUACCAGAAAGGGACGGCUAACUACGUGCCAGCAGCCGCGGUAAUACGUAGGUCCCGAGCGUUGUCCGGAUUUAUUGGGCGUAAAGCGAGCGCAGGCGGUUAGAUAAGUCUGAAGUUAAAGGCUGUGGCUUAACCAUAGUACGCUUUGGAAACUGUUUAACUUGAGUGCAAGAGGGGAGAGUGGAAUUCCAUGUGUAGCGGUGAAAUGCGUAGAUAUAUGGAGGAACACCGGUGGCGAAAGCGGCUCUCUGGCUUGUAACUGACGCUGAGGCUCGAAAGCGUGGGGAGCAAACAGGAUUAGAUACCCUGGUAGUCCACGCCGUAAACGAUGAGUGCUAGGUGUUAGACCCUUUUCCGGGGUUUAGUGCCGCAGCUAACGCAUUAAGCACUCCGCCUGGGGA
This 518-nucleotide ribosomal RNA is filed under the name Streptococcus sp. oral taxon 058. RNAcentral describes it as "bacterial SSU rRNA". It matches the Rfam family "Bacterial small subunit ribosomal RNA", at positions 371 to 879 of the family's 1533-position model. Lineage: Bacteria; Bacillati; Bacillota; Bacilli; Lactobacillales; Streptococcaceae. The record is from RNAcentral.